AGCCAUUAGCAUUUAAGUUGAUCAUGGCUCAGACUGAAGCGCGUAGGCAAGCCUAACACAUGCAAGUCGAACGGUACACAGAGAGCUUGCUCUCGGGUGACGAGUGGCGGACGGGUGAGUAAUGUCUGGGAAACUGCCUGAUGGAGGGGGAUAACUACUGGAAACGGUAGCUAAUACCGCAUAACGUCGCAAGACCAAAGAGGGGGACCUUCGGGCCUCUUGCCAUCAGAUGUGCCCAGAUGGGAUUAGCUAGUAGGUGGGGUAACGGCUCACCUAGGCGACGAUCCCUAGCUGGUCUGAGAGGAUGACCAGCCACACUGGAACUGAGACACGGUCCAGACUCCUACGG
RNAcentral lists this ribosomal RNA (349 nucleotides) under uncultured bacterium. RNAcentral describes it as "bacterial SSU rRNA". It matches the Rfam family "Bacterial small subunit ribosomal RNA", at positions 1 to 344 of the family's 1533-position model. The record is from RNAcentral.